AUUUACAAGCUCUUCUCCCAGUCGCUGCCAUGCUGCUCUUGUCCAGGUCUUGGUAGCACACCAGAAGGAUCUUUGCAACCUUGGUGUCGAUGCAAGCUUCUUCCAGAUCGGAGUCGGCUAUGGAUUCCUGCAAGAAAUUGGUAAAAUUUUUCUCUAGAGGUAUCUUUGCUAUUUGUGACUGAACGUAUUUCGAGUGCCGAAAGCUGAGGAUCCGUCUGUGCUGCUGUUGCUUCUUUUGGCAUCACGUAGAGGUUUCCCAGCACGUAGACUGCUGCCUCCUCUUUCACGUCGAAGAUGGCUGGUGUGAGCAAAUUUACCAGUGAGUGUUCAUGCAAGCAGGCCAAAAUCUACCUUCAACAACGCUCUAUGAUUGGUGCGCUCCAACAACACCACCAUUACUACGAUCCCUACUGCGGCGUCAUCGUGUACUUUAGAGUCAUAGAUGGAGCUUGUGUCGAGGAGAAUCAGUAAAAUUUAUGUCUAGUGGAAAGGUGGGUAUUUUUCUCA
Selaginella moellendorffii is the source of this 507-nucleotide long non-coding RNA. RefSeq lists it as uncharacterized. The transcript has 2 exons. Lineage: Eukaryota; Viridiplantae; Streptophyta; Lycopodiopsida; Selaginellales; Selaginellaceae. The record is from RefSeq and is a predicted model, not a curated record.